Molecule: unclassified non-coding RNA, 272 nt
Filed under: uncultured fungus
Lineage: Eukaryota; Fungi
Also listed under: 1 other name
Description: partial contains small subunit ribosomal RNA, internal transcribed spacer 1, and 5.8S ribosomal RNA
Source: RNAcentral
UUUCCGUAGGUGAACCUGCGGAAGGAUCAUUAUUGCGAGUGGAAAGUGAGUCGGGGGGCGUUUAAGCCACCGAGUCAUAAUACAAGGACGUUUGGAGGGUUGUGGGGGAGAGGAUGGGAUGGAAUGGAGGGUGGAUCAAGUGAUUGUUUCACUUUCUUAAUCCUUGAUCCUCUUCUCCCAGCCCCCUGAACAAACACCGACGCGUUUCAAGUGUGCCAGUCUAAAAAGGUAUAAAGAGAAAACAACUUUUAACAAUGGAUCUCUUGGCUCUU